Molecule: ribosomal RNA, 478 nt
Filed under: uncultured bacterium
Lineage: Bacteria
Description: bacterial SSU rRNA
Rfam family: Bacterial small subunit ribosomal RNA
Source: RNAcentral
GUGCCUAACACAUGCAAGUCGAACGAAGCUGCGAUGAAGAGGCUUCGGCCAAUGGAUUCGUAGACUUAGUGGCGGACGGGUGAGUAAUGCGUGAGCAACCUGCCCUUCAGAGGGGGACAACAGUUGGAAACGAACUGCUAAUACUGCAUAAUGUUUUCGGAAGGCAUCUUCUGGGAACCAAAGAUUUAUCGCUGAAGGAUGGGCUCACGUCUGAUUAGCUAGUUGGUGAGGUAACGGCUCACCAAGGCUGCGAUCAGUAGCCGGACUGAGAGGUUGAACGGCCACAUUGGGACUGAGAUACGGCCCAGACUCCUACGGGAGGCAGCAGUGGGGAAUAUUGGGCAAUGGGCGCAAAGCCUGACCCAGCAACGCCGCGUGAAGGAAGAAGGCUUUCGGGUUGUAAACUUCUUUUAUGAGGAACGAAGGACGUGACGGUACCUCAUGAAUAAGCCACGGCUAACUACGUGCCAGCAGCCGC